CUUGGUAUGACUUGCAACAACUGCCAGAAGUGAGUUGGUCCACCCGAGCCUCCUUUAUUUUUUGUCUUUAAAAGAAAAAGAAGAAUUUCACCCCCCCUCUCCCUCCCUUCUCAGUUUUUUUUUUGAGCAACUCUCUUCUAGCCCGACCCACCGUGCACAGGAUGUCAGUGCACAAGUAGAGUGUGCGCAGUCCACACAGCCGGCCCAAGCCCGCUGGACCCUCCACCUGCCCUCUCGUCUAGCGUCUUCUCCAGUGAGAGAGAUCCACAGACGCGUGCGUCGGCCGACAUCAGUGAGCAACCACCGCGGCUCUCCUCUCCCCUUGAAGCCUCCCCAGCCACCCAAAUCCUAACCCUCCCGCCGCCGCCAGGUGGGUCUCCCCCUCCGUUUCCUUCUCCACCAAGCGAACCGAGGAGCGCCAGAGCAUCGCCGGAGCAGGCCACCGCGGCCAGCGUGCUCCGCCAGCGUUUUCUUCGUGACCGGGAGCCCCGACUGCACGACUGCUUCCUCUGCUCGGACGACCUCGAGCUCGGACGCCUCCACGCCGUCGAAUUGGUCGACCUCCUCCUCUUCGGCCUGUUCGCCGUCACCGUCCAAAUUCGCCGCCGGCCGACCUCCUCCCGCCCGUUCGGCUACGCCAGCAUCACCAGGGAAGAAGAAAAUGAACACCAUGCCGUCAGAAAAUGCUGAAAGGAGGGGAAGCGUGCUUGAUAAUCCGCAAAAGCAGCUGGAUGAGUCUGUCCUCGAUAUGCAACUUUAUGGAAAAGCUCUAGAUGUGUUUGAGGAUGAUCCUGCUACCUCUGGCAUAUUACACGAUCAUCUGCUAAGAACUAUGGGUACUCCAGUAGCCGACAAGAUUUUAUUUAGUCUGGAUAAGGACAACAAAUUGAAGAAUGGAAUGGAGUUUGAAGGCAGUGAAGAACAGCAUGUUCAGCUCAGCACUACGGAGCGUACUUUUCUGGCGAAGGAUCUUCCAGGGCAAUUGUCAUCGAAGGCUCAAGCUUUAGUCGAAGCACUGGAGGGAAAGCGGUUUGAUUCAUUUAUGGACGCCUUAAGAGAUACAGCAGAGGAAAGUGGAUUGUUAUUUAAGAAGCUUGAUGAAAGACUUGAGCGAUCAAUGCUGCAUUCCCACCACAAGGAUUUGAUAGCACAAGUUUCUUCAGAAACUGAUCCAGUUUCCUUCCUCCCAAAAGUUGCUGCUCUACUUUUUCUCCAGGCAUACAACAAGGCUCUUCAGGCACCUGGAAGUGCUGUUGGUGCUGUCAUCACACUACUGAAGGACAAGCUACCAGCUGCAACCUUCAAGGUUUUAACUGAAUGUCACGCCACCACCGUGAAACUUCUCGCACUACAAGAUGCUGCUACGGGUGAUGAAGACGAUUGCACAUCGGACCGAAUGCUGGAGAAGAAGGAAGACCUAGAAGAGAGGCUGAUGCCAGAACUCAAAUCCCUGGCCCUCGGCACGAGCAAAGAGCAGUGAGCAGGAAACAUUGUGUGCGUGGUGGUGCCCCAUGCCCUCGUGUAUGUAAAUGCACAGAUCUAUCUACCUAUCUAUCCUCCUCGGCACUGGAGCUGUGGCUGUUUCGUGUGAUAGCAGAAUCAACUUCUUAAAUGUUUAACGAGCAACCACAGCAUGUAUGAACUUCUUAAACACCUUGAAACUCUGCUACUUCCUUUCUGAACAAUGACUGCAAGCAAAUGUUUUUCGAGAACCUUUUAUCUUGUGAUCCACUAGACACCCAUUCUUUUCUUCAACUGCCACGCGAAACAUCCAAGUAUGAGAAGGCUGCAAACGCCCGUCACGGCAAGCCUCCAUUCGAACUCCAUUUGAAUGCACGUGGCAUUUUCAGUCAAGGUUUUGGGACUCGUUGGGACCGUUUGCUCAAGGUGCACAUGACACGUUGCGGGAUCACCAUGAGGGCUUUACUCGAGUCAGCACUACCCUUCGAGCAAGAUAUCCCAAGUCCAGAAAUGUGGGUAUCCUUUUUUAUUUUUUGA
This 1998-nucleotide ribosomal RNA is filed under the name Triticum aestivum (bread wheat). Its description in RNAcentral is "partial small subunit ribosomal RNA". The record is from RNAcentral. Lineage: Eukaryota; Viridiplantae; Streptophyta; Magnoliopsida; Poales; Poaceae.